RNAcentral lists this ribosomal RNA (497 nucleotides) under uncultured bacterium. RNAcentral's name for it is "partial 16S ribosomal RNA". It matches the Rfam family "Bacterial small subunit ribosomal RNA", at positions 28 to 507 of the family's 1533-position model. The record is from RNAcentral.
GAUGAACGCUGGCGGCGUGCCUAAUACAUGCAAGUCGAGCGAACAGACGAGGAGCUUGCUCCUCUGACGUUAGCGGCGGACGGGUGAGUAACACUUGGAUAACCUACCUAUAAGACUGGGAUAACUUCGGGAAACCGGAGCUAAUACCGGAUAAUAUAUUGAACCGCAUGGUUCAAUAUUGAAAGACGGUUUUGCUGUCACUUAUAGAUGGAUCCGCGCCGCAUUAGCUAGUUGGUAAGGUAACGGCUUACCAAGGCGACGAUGCGUAGCCGACCUGAGAGGGUGAUCGGCCACACUGGAACUGAGACACGGUCCAGACUCCUACGGGAGGCAGCAGUAGGGAAUCUUCCGCAAUGGGCGAAAGCCUGACGGAGCAACGCCGCGUGAGUGAUGAAGGUCUUCGGAUCGUAAAACUCUGUUAUUAGGGAAGAACAAAUGUGUAAGUAACUAUGCACGUCUUGACGGUACCUAAUCAGAAAGCCACGGCUAACUACGUG